Long non-coding RNA from Telopea speciosissima, 94 nucleotides. RefSeq lists it as uncharacterized. The transcript is spliced from 3 exons. NCBI's taxonomy places the organism in Eukaryota, Viridiplantae, Streptophyta, Magnoliopsida, Proteales, Proteaceae. The record is from RefSeq and is a predicted model, not a curated record.
CCUGGGCUUCUUAUGAACUCAGGAAAUUGAGAUAAUGGAUCAUGGAUGCUCUGGUGAAGAGUUCCAAUCCUUCUUAGCUGUUGAAAGCUUGAAU